UUGAGAAUAUCUUCAGCAAAGGAAGUGCUCAAGGGAGAAGAACAGUCAUCAUUGACUUUGCUAUUUCUUGACCAACUGAAUCAAUAUCACUCUUUUCAGAGCUUGCAUUUGAAGUGCCUGUUUCAUCUUCCAGAACUGAAUCAGUUACCAAAACCUCAGAAAUGGCUACAUCCAUGGCAAUUGUGUCAUCUUUAGCACUGCAAGGAACUUUCAUGAGUUCGUUUGGAUCAGAGUUAGAAAAACUGUCUGCAAAAAUGCAA
RNAcentral lists this long non-coding RNA (260 nucleotides) under Olea europaea (common olive). RNAcentral describes it as "long non-coding RNA (OEUR_LNC011482)". The record is from RNAcentral. Lineage: Eukaryota; Viridiplantae; Streptophyta; Magnoliopsida; Lamiales; Oleaceae.